CGCCUGGAACGGUGAGUGGAUGAAAGCUCCGGCGGCAUAGGAUGGGCCUGCGGCGUAUCAGGUUGUAGGGGGUGUAAUGUACCCUCUAGCCCUCUACGCGUACGGGUGUUGGGAGACAUAGCCCGGAGAUGGAUUCUGAGACACGAAUCCAGACCCUACGGGGUGCAGCAGGCGCGAAAACUUGGCAAUGCGAGAAAUCGUGACCAGGGAACUCCAAGUGCAUCGGGUAAGACCGGUGCUUUUCUUGACUCUAAAUAGGUCUUGGAAUAAGGGGUGGGUAAGGACGGUGCCAGCCGCCGCGGUAAUACCGGCGCCUCAAGUGGUAGUCGCUUUUAUUGGGCCUAAAACGUCCGUAGCCGGUCUGAUACAUUCGUGGGUAAAUCAACCAGCUCAACUGGUUGAAUUCUGCGAGGACGGUCAGACUUGGGACCGGGAGAGGUGUGGGGUACGCUCAGGGUAGGGGUAAAAUCCUGUCAUCCUGAGCGGACCACCUGUUGCGAAGGCGCCACACUAGAACGGAUCCGACGGUCAGGGACGAAGCCUAGGGGCACGAACCGGAUUAGAUACCCGGGUAGUCCUAGGUGUAAACGCUGUGGACUUGAUGUUGGGGGUGCUCCGAGCACUCUCAGUGUCGAAGCGAAGGUGAUAAGUCCACUGCCUGGGAAGUACGGUCGCAAGGCUGAAACUUAAAGGAAUUGGCGGGGGAGCACCGCAACCUGAGGAUUGUGCGGUUUAAUUGGACUCAACGCCGGAA
Molecule: ribosomal RNA, 754 nt
Filed under: uncultured Candidatus Poseidoniales archaeon
Lineage: Archaea; Methanobacteriati; Thermoplasmatota; Candidatus Poseidoniia; Candidatus Poseidoniales
Description: bacterial SSU rRNA
Rfam family: Archaeal small subunit ribosomal RNA
Source: RNAcentral